CUCUUGAGAGCGGCGGACGGGUGAGUAAUGCCUAGGAAUCUGCCUGGUAGUGGGGGAUAACGUUCGGAAACGGACGCUAAUACCGCAUACGUCCUACGGGAGAAAGCAGGGGACCUUCGGGCCUUGCGCUAUCAGAUGAGCCUAGGUCGGAUUAGCUAGUUGGUGAGGUAAUGGCUCACCAAGGCGACGAUCCGUAACUGGUCUGAGAGGAUGAUCAGUCACACUGGAACUGAGACACGGUCCAGACUCCUACGGGAGGCAGCAGUGGGGAAUAUUGGACAAUGGGCGAAAGCCUGAUCCAGCCAUGCCGCGUGUGUGAAGAAGGUCUUCGGAUUGUAAAGCACUUUAAGUUGGGAGGAAGGGCAGUUACCUAAUACGUGAUUGUUUUGACGUUACCGACAGAAUAAGCACCGGCUAACUCUGUGCCAGCAGCCGCGGUAAUACAGAGGGUGCGAGCGUUAAUCGGAUUUACUGGGCGUAAAGCGUGCGUAGGUGGCUAAUUAAGUCAAAUGUGAAAUCCCCGAGCUUAACUUGGGA
RNAcentral lists this ribosomal RNA (537 nucleotides) under uncultured Pseudomonas sp. RNAcentral's name for it is "bacterial SSU rRNA". It matches the Rfam family "Bacterial small subunit ribosomal RNA", at positions 86 to 619 of the family's 1533-position model. Lineage: Bacteria; Pseudomonadati; Pseudomonadota; Gammaproteobacteria; Pseudomonadales; Pseudomonadaceae. The record is from RNAcentral.